RNAcentral lists this transfer RNA (68 nucleotides) under Tibia fusus. Its description in RNAcentral is "tRNA-Glu". The record is from RNAcentral. Lineage: Eukaryota; Metazoa; Mollusca; Gastropoda; Littorinimorpha; Rostellariidae.
GUUUCUAGGGUGUUCGUCAGCACAUUAGAUUUUCAUUCUAAAGGAAUAAAGUAAGUUUAUUAGAAAUA